RNAcentral lists this long non-coding RNA (216 nucleotides) under Brassica napus (rape). RNAcentral describes it as "long non-coding RNA (BNAP_LNC007732)". Lineage: Eukaryota; Viridiplantae; Streptophyta; Magnoliopsida; Brassicales; Brassicaceae. The record is from RNAcentral.
CGUUGAUUUGUGAUGGAUUGUAAACAAUAUUAUUUAGUUUGAUCAAUAACUGAAAAAAAAUUUAGUCCACAUUAAAUUUUAAAAUUGAAGUUGCAUGUUUUUAAGUUUAACUAUUCAUUCAUAAAAAAAAAAAAAAAACUCCAGUACGUGGUUUUCACUAUUUUGGAGAUAAUUUAUCAGUUCUUCUUCUUUAUUUUUGUUUUUUUAGAGGCCCCC